ACGGGAGGCAGCAGUGGGGAAUAUUGGGCAAUGGGCGAAAGCCUGACCCAGCAACGCCGCGUGAAGGAAGAAGGUCUUCGGAUUGUAAACUUCUUUUAUGAGGGACGAAGGACGUGACGGUACCUCAUGAAUAAGCCACGGCUAACUACGUGCCAGCAGCCGCGGUAAUACGUAGGUGGCAAGCGUUAUCCGGAUUUACUGGGUGUAAAGGGCGCGUAGGCGGGGAUGCAAGUCAGAUGUGAAAUCUAUGGGCUUAACUCAUAAACUGCAUUUGAAACUGCGGAUCUUGAGUAUCGGAGAGGCAAGCGGAAUUCCUAGUGUAGCGGUGAAAUGCGUAGAUAUUAGGAGGAACACCAGUGGCGAAGGCGGCUUGCUGGACGACAACUGACGCUGAGGCGCGAAAGCGUGGGGAGCAAACAGGAUUAGAUACCCUGGUA
Molecule: ribosomal RNA, 437 nt
Filed under: uncultured Sporobacter sp.
Lineage: Bacteria; Bacillati; Bacillota; Clostridia; Eubacteriales; Oscillospiraceae
Description: bacterial SSU rRNA
Rfam family: Bacterial small subunit ribosomal RNA
Source: RNAcentral